RNAcentral lists this transfer RNA (53 nucleotides) under Dolichovespula panda. RNAcentral describes it as "tRNA-Ala". The record is from RNAcentral. Lineage: Eukaryota; Metazoa; Arthropoda; Insecta; Hymenoptera; Vespidae.
AGGAUAUUAGUUAAAUUUAUUUAUAACAUUUAUUUUGCAUAUAAAAAUUAUUU